CUGGCUGAGGUAGAGCGCGUGGUUUGGGACCACGAGGUCGCGGGUUCGAGCCCCGCCGGCCCGA
Molecule: transfer RNA, 64 nt
Filed under: Candidatus Uhrbacteria bacterium
Lineage: Bacteria; Candidatus Uhriibacteriota
Description: tRNA-Ser
Rfam family: tRNA (bases 2-56)
About the family: Transfer RNA (tRNA) molecules are approximately 80 nucleotides in length. Their secondary structure includes four short double-helical elements and three loops (D, anti-codon, and T loops).
Source: RNAcentral